Molecule: long non-coding RNA, 301 nt
Filed under: Triticum aestivum (bread wheat)
Lineage: Eukaryota; Viridiplantae; Streptophyta; Magnoliopsida; Poales; Poaceae
Description: long non-coding RNA (TAES_LNC000783)
Source: RNAcentral
GUCCCUCUCUGCCUUGUUGAGCUCCUCUUAAAGUGAAAAUAGAUGUCCUUAUACAGGGAAUUUGACCUAAAUUCACAGUAAAUUUCAUAGAAAUUUAUUAUGAAUUUAGGUUGAAUUUCCUCUAUAAGCACAUCUAUGUUCAUUUUUUUAUAGUAAAUAAAAUAAAUAAACCUUAAUAAAAUAAAAUAAAAUAAACUAUAGUAACUAAAAUAAAUAAACCUUAAUAAAUUAAAUAAAAAUAGCAGCAGUAAAAUAAAUAAAAAUAGCAGCAGUAAAAUAAAUAAAAAUAAAUUAAUUAAAG